RNAcentral lists this ribosomal RNA (450 nucleotides) under uncultured bacterium. RNAcentral describes it as "bacterial SSU rRNA". It matches the Rfam family "Bacterial small subunit ribosomal RNA", at positions 330 to 794 of the family's 1533-position model. The record is from RNAcentral.
UCCAGACUCCUACGGGAGGCAGCAGUGGGGAAUAUUGCACAAUGGGCGAAAGCCUGAUGCAGCAACGCCGCGUGAAGGAAGAAGGGUUUCGGCUCGUAAACUUCUAUCAACAGGGACGAAAGAAAUGACGGUACCUGAAUAAGAAGCCCCGGCUAACUACGUGCCAGCAGCCGCGGUAAUACGUAGGUGGCAAGCGUUGUCCGGAAUUACUGGGUGUAAAGGGAGCGCAGGCGGGAAGCCAAGUCAGCUGUGAAAACUACGGGCUUAACUUGUAGACUGCAGUUGAAACUGGUUUUCUUGAGUGAAGUAGAGGUUGGCGGAAUUCCGAGUGUAGCGGUGAAAUGCGUAGAUAUUAGGAGGAACACCAGUGGCGAAGGCGGCCUACUGGACGGUGACUGACGCUGAGGCUCGAAAGCGUGGGGAGCAAACAGGAUUAGAUACCCCCGUAUC